GGCCUCGUAGUUCAGCUGGUAGAGCGUGUGCUAUAUAAAAGCAUAGGCGGCAUCCAUGCGUGGGUUCGAAUCCCAUCGAGGCUA
This 84-nucleotide transfer RNA is filed under the name Echinostoma caproni. It matches the Rfam family "tRNA". Rfam says of the family: Transfer RNA (tRNA) molecules are approximately 80 nucleotides in length. Their secondary structure includes four short double-helical elements and three loops (D, anti-codon, and T loops). Lineage: Eukaryota; Metazoa; Platyhelminthes; Trematoda; Plagiorchiida; Echinostomatidae. The record is from Rfam by way of RNAcentral.